UGCUUGGGUAGCUCAACUGGUAGAGCACUUCCCUGCGAAGGACAGAGGUCCCGAGUUCGAGUCUCGGUCCAGCAA
This is a non-coding RNA of Schistocerca cancellata (South American locust), 75 nucleotides long. The record is from the annotation of a RefSeq genome assembly. NCBI's taxonomy places the organism in Eukaryota, Metazoa, Arthropoda, Insecta, Orthoptera, Acrididae.